GACAGAGGUGCCAAGCGUUAGGCGGAAUCACUGGGCUUAAAGCGUGUGUAGGCGGAAUGGUAAGUACCUUGUGAAAUCCCACAGCUCAACUGUGGAACUGCUCGGUAGUACUGCUUUUUCUUGAGCCACUUAGGGGCUGUCGGAACAAACGGUGGAGCGGUGAAAUGCGUAGAUAUCGUUUGGAACGCCAAUGGUGAAAACAGACAGCUGGGAGUGUGCUGA
This 222-nucleotide ribosomal RNA is filed under the name uncultured bacterium. RNAcentral's name for it is "partial 16S ribosomal RNA". It matches the Rfam family "Bacterial small subunit ribosomal RNA", at positions 524 to 743 of the family's 1533-position model. The record is from RNAcentral.